GGAUUCCAUCAUAAUCCUGAUGGGAUCCAUCGAACCUUCGGUAAGUUUUAUUGACCGUCCUUACCUUUGAAAUCUUGCGUUUCUGUCACUUUUGAUGUUUAAUACACUUUGUACUGGUGCUACGCAUCACGUGAUACGUCUUUUGAGCAAUUGGGGUCCUUUCACUCUGUCAUAAGGGCGUCAGAAGAAUGGAACUGGUUGUUCCAUAGCUUCGACAAGAUCAGUGAGGCAUUCCAAAAUCCUAUUGAGUUGAGCGCCAACACAAUGUGCGAGCAUCCAUGAUUGCAACGUGUUUUGGAAACGACAGAACUGUCCGGAUUCACCCAUUUGUAAGAACUUUGUGAUCGUACCAAGUGUGACAUCGUGUCUGGUUCGUUGGCGUCACUAUAUCUCCAAAGGUUAUCCUUGACAUUAAUGAAGUGUGAAUGCUUUCUCA
Molecule: long non-coding RNA, 436 nt
Filed under: Physcomitrium patens
Lineage: Eukaryota; Viridiplantae; Streptophyta; Bryopsida; Funariales; Funariaceae
Description: long non-coding RNA (PPAT_LNC004237)
Source: RNAcentral